This 254-nucleotide ribosomal RNA is filed under the name uncultured bacterium. RNAcentral's name for it is "partial 16S ribosomal RNA". It matches the Rfam family "Bacterial small subunit ribosomal RNA", at positions 524 to 776 of the family's 1533-position model. The record is from RNAcentral.
UACAGAGGGUGCAAGCGUUAAUCGGAAUUACUGGGCGUAAAGCGUGCGUAGACGGUUACAUAAGUCGGGUGUGAAAUCCCCGGGCUCAACCUGGGAAUUGCGUUGGAGACUGCAAGGCUAGAAUCUGGCAGAGGGGGGUAGAAUUCCACGGUGUAGCAGUGAAAUGCGUAGAGAUGUGGAGGAACACCGAUGGCGAAGGCAGCCCCCUGGGUCAAGAUUGACGCUCAUGCACGAAAGCGUGGGGAGCAAACAGG